RNAcentral lists this transfer RNA (71 nucleotides) under Schistocephalus solidus. It matches the Rfam family "tRNA". Rfam says of the family: Transfer RNA (tRNA) molecules are approximately 80 nucleotides in length. Their secondary structure includes four short double-helical elements and three loops (D, anti-codon, and T loops). Lineage: Eukaryota; Metazoa; Platyhelminthes; Cestoda; Diphyllobothriidea; Diphyllobothriidae. The record is from Rfam by way of RNAcentral.
GAGCACCUGGCUCAACGGUAGAGCGUUCGACUCAAAUACCAAAGGUCACGGGUUUUAAUCCCAGUUGUUCA